AUGGUCAAGUCUGAUAUCUUUAGGAGGGGCGAAGCUCCUCUUAUUGUGAGGGCGAGUUUUAUAACACCAUAGGACUGGCCGUCCCAUAUGAAAAGAUUAUAUUUAGAAUUGAAUGAAGCUUUUGUUUAUAUAUUGAUAAUGACAGUAUAUAUAUCGUGUCUUGACUAAUUGCGUGCCAGCAGUCCGCGGUAAUACGAAGAGACUAGUGUUAUUCAUCUUAAUUAGGUUUAAAGGGUACCCAGACGGUCAAUAUAGCUUAUAAAAUGUUAGUACUUGACUAGAGUUUUAUGUAAGAGGGCAGUACUUGAGGAGGAGAGAUGAAAUUUCGUGAUACCAAAGGGACUCUGUAAAGGCGAAGGCAGCCCUCUAUGUAAAAACUGACGUUGAAGGACGAAGGCACAGAGAACAAACAGGAUUAGAUACCCAAGUAGUCUUUGCAGUAAAUGAUGAAUGCCAUAGGUUAGAUGGGUGGGCUCGUCUAGUUGAGUUAGUUUAGCAAACUAAUGAUCUAGACGAGCCCACCGUAUAUU
Molecule: ribosomal RNA, 530 nt
Filed under: Fusarium fujikuroi
Lineage: Eukaryota; Fungi; Ascomycota; Sordariomycetes; Hypocreales; Nectriaceae
Description: SSU rRNA
Rfam family: Bacterial small subunit ribosomal RNA
Source: RNAcentral